Molecule: ribosomal RNA, 499 nt
Filed under: uncultured bacterium
Lineage: Bacteria
Description: bacterial SSU rRNA
Rfam family: Bacterial small subunit ribosomal RNA
Source: RNAcentral
GAUGAACGCUAGCGGCAGGCUUAACACAUGCAAGUCGAGGGGCAGCGGGGUGUAGCAAUACAUCGCCGGCGACCGGCGCACGGGUGCGUAACACGUAUGGAAUCUGCCCUUUACUGGGGGAUAGCCCGGAGAAAUCCGGAUUAAUACCCCAUAACCAGCGAGGUGGCAUCACCUUGCUUUGAAAGCUCCGGCGGUAAAGGAUGACCAUGCGCACGAUUAGCUAGUUGGUGAGGUAACGGCUCACCAAGGCAACGAUCGUUAGGGGGCCUGAGAGGGUUAUCCCCCACACUGGUACUGAGACACGGACCAGACUCCUACGGGAGGCAGCAGUGAGGAAUAUUGCGCAAUGGAGGCAACUCUGACGCAGCCAUGCCGCGUGCAGGAAGAAGGCGCUACGCGUUGUAAACUGCUUUUAUCCGGGAAGAAACCCCAGGACGUGUCCUGGGUUGACGGUACCGGAGGAAUAAGCACCGGCUAACUUCGUGCCAGCAGCCGACGG